AGUGAACGCUGGCGGUAGGCCUAACACAUGCAAGUCGAACGGCAGCACAGUAAGAGCUUGCUCUUACGGGUGGCGAGUGGCGGACGGGUGAGGAAUACAUCGGAAUCUACUUUUUCGUGGGGGAUAACGUAGGGCAGCUUACGCUAAUACCGCAUACGACCUACGGGUGAAAGCAGGUGAUCUUCGGACCUUGCGCGAUUGAAUGAGCCGAUGUCGGAUUAGCUAGUUGGCGGGGUAAAGGCCCACCAAGCCGACGAUCCGUAGCUGGUCUGAGAGGAUAAUCAGCCACACUGGAACUGAGACACGGUGCAGAGUCCUACGGGAGGCAGCAGUGGGGAAUAUUUGACAAUGGGCGCAAGCCUGGUCCAGCCAUACCGCGUGGGUGAAGAAGGCCUUCGGGUUGUAAAGCCCUUUUGUUGGGAAAGAAAAGCAGCAGGUUAAUACCCCGCUGUUCUGACGGUACCCAAAGAAUAAGCACCGGCUAACUUCGUG
RNAcentral lists this ribosomal RNA (492 nucleotides) under uncultured bacterium. Its description in RNAcentral is "partial 16S ribosomal RNA". It matches the Rfam family "Bacterial small subunit ribosomal RNA", at positions 29 to 507 of the family's 1533-position model. The record is from RNAcentral.